Cynoglossus semilaevis (tongue sole) is the source of this 1005-nucleotide long non-coding RNA. RefSeq lists it as uncharacterized. Lineage: Eukaryota; Metazoa; Chordata; Actinopteri; Pleuronectiformes; Cynoglossidae. The record is from RefSeq and is a predicted model, not a curated record. The transcript has 2 exons.
CGUUUUUAUAACGGAAAUAGGAAUACGCUGUAUGGUCCUUAUUUCCGGUUGCGCAUCCGGAGGAGGUGUGUGCUAACGAGUGUUAGCCGUUUGUCUUCCAGCGGGCGUUCAAGUCAAAAAGCCAGGUACGGUGGCUACAUGUGAUUGAUUUAAAAGAUACCCAUCCUACUACAGGACCACGGACGGUCCAUCACUCAGAUCAAGUACAACGGAGAAGGAGACCUUCAGUUUUCCGUCGCUAAAGAUCAAGUAAGUGACAUGAAAUGAUUGUGCUUAACAACUGCCACCAAUGACUAUAGGAUAGUAGUUAGUUUGACGUUAAGAAUAUGGACUGUCUACGUGGAGCUACAAAUGGCAACUCGACUCUGCUAGUUUUGACUUGCAAUUGUGUUACAAACAUAAGGCUAUAUGCUCUAUAGUGUAUGAUAUGAAAAUCAUAUUUGUAAUCAUGAAAAGGGGACUGAGGCCAGUAGAAUUGAUUUAUUUUCAUUCAGAUUAAAAGGAAAAGAGUACAACAUGGAUUUCUUCUCUCAUGAGGUUAUUGGUGGCGUCAGUAAUGUAGAGCAAACCAAUAAUUUGUGAAGUGAAGCCAUGAUUGCAUUGAAGCCUUUUAAUGUUUACCUUCAACAAUGUCUCCCUACACAGGUGGCCAAGAGUGUCCAAAUGUAGUUUGGACAGUUUUUGAUUCCAGCUCAUUCUUCCAUUCAUUGUGCCUCCUCUGCUAUAGCUGUUAAUGACAACAGCUGUAAUGGAGAAGAUGGACAUGUGAGGUGGAGGCCUAAAGUGUUAGGCUUGUGGACACCGCCAGGUAGAGUGAGGGAGCAACUUUACUUGAAGCAGAUCACUUGUUUUACUGAGUACUGUAAUUGUAGUGACUAUCAUUGCUAUGCUAUUGUUUAUUUAACACUUAGCUAAUUGCUAAAACACUGCGAUAUAUAGUUAUGUAUAGUAUACUGGUUCUAUCAAAUGAAAACUUUACACAUAUUUUUAAUUAGACAAAUAAUA